Molecule: non-coding RNA, 742 nt
Organism: Macaca mulatta (Rhesus monkey)
Lineage: Eukaryota; Metazoa; Chordata; Mammalia; Primates; Cercopithecidae
Source: the annotation of a RefSeq genome assembly
CUGUGAAAUACCCUGCCACAUGAAUAUGCAAAUAACCUGAGGUCUCCUGAGAUAAAUAUAGAUAUAUUGGCGCCCUGAGAGCAUCACAAAACAACCACAUCCCUCCUCUAAAGAAGCCCCUGGGAACACAGCUCAUCACCAUGGACUGGACCUGGAGGCUCCUCUUUGUGGUGGCAGCAGCUACAGGCGGCCAGUCCCAGGUCCAGCUGGUGCAGUCUGGGGCUGAGGUGAAGAAGCCUGGGGCCUCAGUGAAGGUUUCCUGCAAGGCUUCUGGAUUCACCUUUGGCAGCUAUGCUAUCAGCUGGGUGCGACAGGCCCCUGGACAAGGGCUUGAGUGGAUGGGAGUGAUCAUCCCUCUUGUUGGUGUAACAAACUACGCAGAGAAGUUCCAGGGCAGAGUCACGAUUACCGCGGACACGUCCACAAGCACAGCCUACAUGGAGCUGAGCAGCCUGAGAUCUGAGGACACGGCCGUGUAUUACUGUGCGAGAGGCACAGUGUGAAAACCACAUCCUGAGAGUGUCAGAAACCCUGAGGGAGAAGGCAGCUGUGCGGGACUAAGGAGAUGACAGGGGUUAUUAAGUUUAAGAUUGUUUACAAAAUCGGUUAUAUAUUCUAGAAAAAAAGAACAAUAGAAACAAGUACAUACUCUAAUUUUAAGAUAAAUAUUCCACUCAAGAGUUACCACAUAAGCCAAAUUCAUGGAGUGGGAAAGGCCACACUCAAUAAAGUUGAUACAAAC